UGAGGAAUAUUGGUCAAUGGUCGAAAGACUGAACCAGCCAUGCCGCGUGAAGGUCACGGCCCUAUGGGUCUUAAACUUCUUUUGUAAGGGAGCAAUAAGGCGUACGUGUACGUCGAUGAGAGUACCUUACGAGUAAGCAUCGGCUAACUCCGUGCCAGCAGCCGCGGUAAUGCGGGGGAUGCAAGCGUUAUCCGGAUUUAUUGGGUUUAAAGGGUGCGUAGGCGGUGAAUUAAGUCAGCGGUGAAAUUUAGGGGCUCAACCUCUACCGUGCCGUUGAUACUGGUUCGCUGGAAUGCGGAUGCCGUGGGAGGAAUGUGUGGUGUAGCGGUGAAAUGCAUAGAUAUCACACAGAACACCGAUUGCGAAGGCAUCUCACGAAUCCGCUAUUGACGCUGAUGCACGAAAGCGUGGGGAUCAAACAGGAUUAGAUACCCUGGUAGUCCACGCUGUAAACGAUGAUAACUAACUGUCGGCGAUACACUGUCGGUAGCCAAGCGAAAGCGAUAAGUUAUCCACCUGGGGAGUACGACCGCAAGGUUG
This 540-nucleotide ribosomal RNA is filed under the name uncultured bacterium. RNAcentral describes it as "bacterial SSU rRNA". It matches the Rfam family "Bacterial small subunit ribosomal RNA", at positions 355 to 896 of the family's 1533-position model. The record is from RNAcentral.